Molecule: long non-coding RNA, 5361 nt
Filed under: Sus scrofa (pig)
Lineage: Eukaryota; Metazoa; Chordata; Mammalia; Artiodactyla; Suidae
Description: lncRNA (ENSSSCG00060020212.1)
Source: RNAcentral
GCUGCACCUGUGGCAUAUGGAAGUACCCAGGCUAGGGGUUGAAUCGGAGCUGCAGCUGCCAGCCUGCCAUGAGGGAUCUGAACCUCGUCUGUGACCUACAUCACAGCUCAUGGUAAUGGCCGGAUACUUAAUCCACUGAGGGAGGCCAGGGAUCGAACCCACUUCUUCAUGGCUACUAGUUGGGUUCGUUACUGAGCCACAAUGGGAACUCCUGGAAUUGGGUUUUGGGGGACAAGGGGACCAGGGAGGAGAGCCAUUGGAAAGGACAGAGGCACAAUUGUUCAGGGGAAAGGAUGGGUGCGGGCGCGGAGAAUGUUUUGUGAAAGUGGCCACCCUCAUGGAAGCCUUAAAGGUGGGUGGGGUGGGGCAAGAGGAGACCGGUCUGUCCUGCUCAGGCCUGGGGACCCUGGAACCCUGGUGAGGGCUUUGGAGCUGGCCAGGUGCCCAGGGGCCACCUCCCACCUCCAUUACCCUCAGAACGGAGAAGCCAAGAAAGGGAACCCAGCAAGGUACUCCCGUUUCAGUCUCUGGCAGGACGGUCCUGCGUAGAAUGUUCCUAUGGGGUAAAGGCGUUAUUACUUCUCUCCUCUUGGCCCAGGGCUUGAUGGCUGAGCAAACGCCUAUGCUUUAUAAGACUGAUGUGCUACCCUUUUUUUUUUUCCCCACUUUUGGCCGCCCCUGUGGCAUAUAGAGCUCCUGGGCCAGGGAUCAGACCUCAACCACAUUCAAGACCUAAGACUUAGCUGUGGCAAUGCUAGAUCCUUAACCCACUGUGCCGGGCUGGGGAUAGAACCCACGUCCCAGUGCUGCCAAGAUGCCGCCAAUCCCAUUGCACCACAGUGGGAGCUCCAUACCUGCUGCUUUAUGUAGUUGAUGUGGGGGGAGAAUGGAGCGGGUGGUCAAGCCCUUUGCUCCUUGAAAGGUCGAGCUUCUGGACUGGGACCAGGUCCAGCUAAUCCUGGGAUGGGCGCCUCCUCCUCCCUGCUCAGUCCUCCAGGCUGAAAACAACAGCCACCCCCAGGCACUGGACUGGGUGCUUGUUACAGCAACCCUGUGAGAUGGGAUCAUGAUAAACAUAUCACAGGGGAGGAAACUGAGGCUUCAGAGGUUAGGUGAAGAGCCCAGACUUAGCUAGAAAGGGGAGCAGUUGGACUUUAAAUGGUAAGAUACUGUUAAGGGAAAAAAGGUAGAACAUUUUUGGGUUUACGGUCUUUGGAGUUUAAAAAAAAAAAAAAAAAGAAAAAAUUUCAAAUCCAAUUUUGGACUUGCCAAGCACUUUGCAUGUAUUAUUUCUGUUUGUUUUUUCAAACAAUGCUAUAAAGUAUUCUGAUUCCUAUUUUAUGAAGGGGGAAAAAAGGGGGCUCAGGAAGGGGAAGGUUUAUGUGGAAAUCUACCCAGGUAGCACAUCGUGGAGCUGGGCUCAGAAUCCAGUCUGGCUAUUCCCAGGGAGGAUUUUUGGAAUCUUGCUUCCUGGAAUCGACUCUCCCCUGGGCCGGGGAUUCUGUCUCUAGCUGCCUCACAUUUUCAUUAAACCCGCCUCGGGUGCCCAGGCCCAACUCAGAAAGAUUUUGUGGGAAAGGCUGCCACCUUGUGGCCAAAGAGCAAGCCCACCAUUUAGCAGCUGGCUAUGACCUGGAAAGGCAGGGCUUUGGGAACAGGUGAAGUUGGUCUCCGAAGAGAGACUUCCGCUGGUGCAGACUUGCUUCUGGAAGGCUUCUCCACAGUCAGAGGGCCAGCUCCGGCAUCGCAGGGGUGGGGACUUCAGGUUCCCCAGCUGCCUAAGGGUGGAAAGUGGGCCUUGGCUGUGUGCACAGUGGACCGCAACUUUUCUGCAAAGUCCCGUUCGGGGAAUUCUGGAAGGUGAGCUGAGCUAAGACGUCUCCUUCAGCCCUUCUCCUGAGGUUUUGGUCAUUUUACCAGUGUCGGGGUGGGGAGAGGGGCUGUUCGCGUAAACCGACACUUCCCCUGCAGAGACGAACCCCCACCCCCGGAGGUUCUGGGGCUGUGUUCUACCCUGUGUUCUACCCUGUGUGGACACUGUCCUCAACCCCGCGGGAGUUACAGAACCUCGUCCUCACUCCUAAACCUGCUCCUGCGGGAGCUCUCCCUCUGUCCUCUUCCAGGCUGCUCCAUGUGGCUGUCACCAUCUCCCAGGCUCUGUUCUUCUGCUCCUCUGCUCUCUCCACUUUGUUCAUCAAAGGAGUGCCUAGUCAUAUUUCUCCCCAGGUACACCCGCGGGGUGCAGGAGGACGCCCACCUUCUUAGCCUCGUUUUCCUUCCAUACUGACAUCGAAAUCUCAGGCCAUGUGCCUCUUGUUAGGCUCCAAUCAGUGCUUCUCAGCUCGGGCUGCACAUUCAAAUCACCUGGGGGUGGGGCUUUGCAACCUCCCUCUGCCAGGCCACGCCCCCUCGAGAUCCUGAUGUAAUUGGCCCGGGCCCUGGAGGUCCUGCGUGCGUCCAGAAAACUCCGCAGGUGCGCAGCCUUGCUCCAGCGUUUCUGAGCACCUCCCCCUGCCCCAUCUUGCUUGCGGAUUUCUGCUCACCUCCUUCCAGGCAGCCCUCUCGCCUUCUCUCCCCUUGUUCUCGUCCCUGUGAGAAGACGCUCUCAGACUGGUGGACAGAACUGGUGGUCCUCUGCCCCGCCUUGACAGUUUUGUGCAUCACUUCUGCGCGGGUGCGGAGCCCGCCGUGCUCUCCUACGGAUCGCCUGAUGGUUCUCUUGUUUUCAACUGAGGUUUUGGACCAUGCUUUAUUUUUCCGUGUGUUCCCAGCUUCGGAAGUUGUCCGGGACAACGCUGUGUUUGGUCACUGGGACUGCUGAUGGAGGACUCAACGGCUUUCUUAGAUAGCCAGGCUUCACGUUGCUGAGAUUUCUGACCUUCAGAAGGAUGUCACCCUUUCCGAAGAUCCCUUGAGGCCGAGAGCAGCGCUCUCCCACCAAGGUACCUGUUCCUGGGCCGGGAGAGGGGAGGGGCCGCGCGGAUAUCCAUGAGGACGGGAGUUCGAUCCCUGGCCUUGCUCAGUGGGUUAAGGAUCCGGCGUUGCAGUGUGCUGUGGUGUAGGCGGGCAGCAGCAGCUCUGAUUAGACCCCUAGCCUGGGACGGUCCAUAUGCUGUGGGUGCAGCCCUAAAAAAACUAAAAAUAAAUAAAUAAAUAGAACCAGGAAUUUCCCCUGUGGCAUAGUGAGAUUGGUGGGGUCUCUGCAGCGGCAGGGACAAGGGUUGGUCCUGGCUGGGCACAGUGGGUUAAGGAACUGGCAUCGCCAUAGCUGUGGUGUAGGUUGCAACUCCAGCUUGGAUUCGACCCCUGGCCUGGGAACUUGCAUAUGCCGCGGGGUGGCCAAAAAAGGAAAAAACCCAAAAAACAGACCCACAUUGGGUGGGGAUUUGUCAUGCGUUGGUGAUAACAUGUAAUAUCUUUUAUUGUCCUAUAGCAGCCCUCUUGUUAGCAGUUUUUUACGGGUGAGGAAACUGAGGCUUAUAGGUGAUGGGGUAUGUGGCUGGGACUCCACAGUAUCCUGGCUUCUCUUCCUAGACUUACAGCAGGCUACAUAUUCGAGUCUCUCUUGCAGGAGGUGGGUUCAUGGACCCCUCCCUCCUCCCCAGGGAAUGUGAGUGGACAUGAUUGUAUUAACUGCGGCGUGGCCCUUUAAAAAUAAAAUAGUUACACGUGUGAUCUUGGCGCUCCUUAUCCAUCAACCAGUUGAAGGGAGAGGGCUUCCAAGAUGCUGAGGACCUAGAAGAAGGCAGAGUCACAAGAUGCGAGGAGCCUGGGGCCCUGUGCUGGAGCAGAGCUGUUCCCUUGCUGACUGCUGUGUGAGUGACGAGUCAGCUCGUUCCGUGUUAACUUAGGUUGGGUUUCUCUCUUAAACCGGCGAAUGCCAUUUACCCUAAUUAUACAUGGAAACUUCGCAAGUCCUGUUUGGUGAGCAGCUGAGUUAGGAUUGUUCCUGUCAAGCUGUCGCCAGGGUGCACAAUCUCAUCCCCUAAAAGGCCUUUCCAGAAUCGUCUAUCAUUGUGCGACUCUUUACGGAAGAGGUCAAACAUUUCAUCCUGGUCAUUCUAGCACCGCCUCGAGGAAAGGCAAGAGAGGACUUUUUGUUUGUGUGUUUUAACCCAAGACGGUCUCCGUCUCCCAUAGUUUGAGGCGGGUGUGGGUGUGAUGGAGGGCUGGGCUGGCCUGAGUGUCACAGGCUACUCAUGGAUCAUUCAAAGAAGGUUGGUAUAAAGAGAGUUUCACAUUCAAGGGAAAUGCUGGUGACACGUGAUUCCCCGUGUACUCCGCCGCCCCUUUGGGCCUCCCUGCCACCGGAUAGGCUGAGUCAGCAAAAGCUCUGGGCUGGGCAAGCAUCUCUCUGCCUUCUUGCCUGAGAGCCACUUUCUGCCUGGGUUGGUUGGUGGCACUGGCUGCACCUACCCCAGGGGGACAUAGGACACAGUAGUUGGUUCCCAUUUGGCUCCCACCAGAUCAGGAUGCCAGCUGGCCUCAUGACCAGGGGGACAUUGAUCUGUGAGCACAUAUCCAAGGGGCCCUGACCCCAUCGAGUCAAACAAGGCUGCUGAACCAAAGCACCUGGGAGCUGUGUCUGCUUUCUGCCCUCCUGAAGGGGUAUGGCCCCAACCUCCUCCAGAAAACGGGGGUGUUCACACAGGCUUCUGAGAAGGAUAUUCUUUGGAGGAUUUAGGUUCUCCUGUUUGCUUGCUCUGCUACUGGGGCCCUCCAGGUCCAAUACUGGGUGUACAGAAGGCUAGCCUGGCCUCUCUCCCUGCCUCCCUCCCCCUGGAAGGCCAGUCCGGUCAGGCUGGAGGACCGGAGGCAGCAGUGAUUCAGAGCACUUGCAGGGUCCUGGGGUGAUGUGCCACCCAGACCUUGCGAGAGGUUUUGAAAUUGACCACAGCCCAGCUUGAAUCAUUCUACCACUUCCCGGCUGGGUGACAAGUGGCCUCAGUUUCUCCACCUGCAAAGUGAAUGAUACCAGGAGCUUGUUCUUGAAAUCCAUCCCUGAGAUACACUUCCAUUUCUUUUUUGGCCACCAGCCUCAUCAACUCACACAGUUGACCACAUCAGCUCCCUACCUGUUCGCUGCAUGGUAUCCAGAGCACUUGUUAAGAAAUUAAAACGGAUUCCCUCUCGUUUCUAAUUUAAAAAAAAUCCAGUCUUUAUGGAGUUCCCUUGUGGUUCGGCAGGUUAAGGAUCUGGCAUUGUCACUGCUGUGGUGCAGGUUCAAUUUCUGGCCCUGGGAACUUCUGCAUGCCAUGAGUGCAGCCAAAAAAAAAAAAAAAAAAUCCAAUCUUUAAUCAGCUCGUUUUCUGAAACUCGCCAACCUCUUCUGUUUUCCAGCAUAUGUGACCACAGUGCCUU